CUGAUAUAGUCAAAGUUGAGAUAACAGAAGAUCUGUGUGUGAGACGUCAACUGGGAGCCCCAGAUGAGGAAACCAGUGAAAGUAUCAGCGCAGAUCAUUGCACACAACUAUUGGAUAAACAAGGACUAUGGACAAGCUGAUAAACCCCCCUUUUUUGCUACAUCCGAAGAAAAAUUCAUCUACAUUGGAAUGAAAACAAAAGGUUGCCGAAAACUAUCCAGGAUUGGCCCUUCCAUUAACAUGUGAUCACAACACAGGAGCGGACCUGUUUUGGAACUUACGUUCAUUAUGAACUCGAAAGGGAACUACUGUUUUUCUUAAAUGAUUUUGAUUGGUCCUAAACAAGCGAGGUAACAUUUUCAAAAUAUCCUCAUCCGAUUUAUAUAUUAAAAUUAUAAUUAGAUUCUUUGCAUUUUUGCACACAAAAAAGGUUAUCUUUGAAUUUUGAUCUAAAUAGAAAUCGGCUGACGAUAUUAAUACCUUAACUUUGUGAGUCUGGCUCCGGUAAAACCGGAAAAGGAACAUUGAUUAUUUCUGUAUAAAAAGCACCUGUGUAAACCCAAAGGCAGCAUCUCAUUAUUUUACUGCUCUUGAGAAAGACGAAACAUCGUUGAAACGCGUAGAGCUUUUGAUUAUGAGCUUUCAUCUAUCUGUCAACAGUGACACUUUUAAAUAAAUUUGUAUCUUUUACGAA
Bombina bombina (fire-bellied toad) is the source of this 694-nucleotide long non-coding RNA. RefSeq lists it as uncharacterized. NCBI's taxonomy places the organism in Eukaryota, Metazoa, Chordata, Amphibia, Anura, Bombinatoridae. The transcript has 2 exons. The record is from RefSeq and is a predicted model, not a curated record.